RNAcentral lists this ribosomal RNA (259 nucleotides) under uncultured prokaryote. RNAcentral's name for it is "partial 16S ribosomal RNA". It matches the Rfam family "Bacterial small subunit ribosomal RNA", at positions 524 to 782 of the family's 1533-position model. The record is from RNAcentral.
UACGUAGGUGGCAAGCGUUAUCCGGAAUUAUUGGGCGUAAAGAGCGCGCAGGUGGUUGAUUAAGUCUGAUGUGAAAGCCCACGGCUUAACCGUGGAGGGUCAUUGGAAACUGGUCGACUUGAGUGCAGAAGAGGGAAGUGGAAUUCCAUGUGUAGCGGUGAAAUGCGUAGAGAUAUGGAGGAACACCAGUUGCGAAGGCGGCUCUCUGGACUGUAACUGACGCUGAGGCACGAAAGCGUGGGGAGCAAACAGGAUUAGA